GUGGUGGUUGUAUGUACGAGGUGAAAUGAUGUAAACACAGGGCGCUGACAUCUUUGUUAAGUUGAACGAAUUGCACGAUUUAUUGAAUAUUAGUAGUGAAUUAGACUUGUAAUUAGCUGGAAAUAGAAGCACAGAAUUAUCGUUUCUGAGGAAACCGUGGAAAGGAAAAGAAAUCCUCGAAGUAGAAAGCUUACUGGUGCAAAGUAUUGUUAGUUGGAAAGGUUUUUGGGCAGAAUUUAAAGAAGGAAACUAAGUUUGUGAGUUACAUAACUGUUUGCUCAAUUUAAACAACUAAAAUAAAUAUAUUUCUAGUUUUGAGUUUGCUGACAACUUACUUCAGAAAGUGUUUUCAAUGAUGUCCCGAAC
This is a long non-coding RNA of Armigeres subalbatus, 366 nucleotides long. RefSeq lists it as uncharacterized. The transcript has 3 exons. NCBI's taxonomy places the organism in Eukaryota, Metazoa, Arthropoda, Insecta, Diptera, Culicidae. The record is from RefSeq and is a predicted model, not a curated record.